Molecule: long non-coding RNA, 1837 nt
Filed under: Phoenix dactylifera (date palm)
Lineage: Eukaryota; Viridiplantae; Streptophyta; Magnoliopsida; Arecales; Arecaceae
Description: long non-coding RNA (PDAC_LNC013792)
Source: RNAcentral
AAAAUUGAAACUGUACCUGCAACUGCAUGGGAAAACAUCAUUCCUUUGUUUUAUAUUAUUUACUAGUAUCAUAAAUGAAAAUCCUCUGUAAAAUGAAGCUUUGGAAGUGCUUCAUAUCAUCUCACAGUUAUAGAGAGGUUUGGAAUAUAGCUUAAAUUUGUUCUCUCCCUCAUCAAGAGACUCAUGAUAGAAUUGUGAUUGUGAUUGUAGGUAUUAUGUUCUUACUUCUUAGUGGUCAAAUUUACUAGUUAUAAUUUGAAGGGAAUGCUCUUUACAGAAUUUACUUAUUUAAAAAGAUUUGUUUUGGUCUGUCAUAGUUCAUGUUGUUCAGUUUUCUUCUAGCAAGCCUCUCAUCGUAUUGUAUAUACCUUUAACCUUCUUUUUCAUUAUCUCUAGGAUAUAGAGCUAUAUACACAUAUGUCUGUACAUUAUAUGUAUUACUAUACAUAACUGCGCCUUUGUUUUGUACAUAGCCAUCCCCCAAAAAAAAAGGAACUCUCAUAAUCUAGGACCUAUACAAAAAGGCUAGCCGAAAGGUAUUUUUUGAGUUUCUUAGUCUUGUAUAAGUACCCAAGAUCUUUCUAGCGAAUAGCCAAUGUGGGACUAAACACACGCUCGCACGAAUGCUUACAUACUUCUCCUGUGCAAGCCCUGACGCCCUUUUCAGGCUAAGGGUGCAAAUCAUUCAAAUCUAAUCACAAGCACCAUGAUCGGUUCGUGGUCAGCCUCAAUAAGUCUAUGCUGCAGUGUCCCGUAGUCUAUAUGGACCAUGGACCGGAUCCACUCUGAUAUCAUUUGUCACAAUCUAGGACCUUAUCCAAAAAGGCUAGCCGGAAGGUAUUUUUUAGGUUCUUUAGUCCUGUAUAAGUAUCCAAGAUCUUUCCGAUGAAUAAUUGAUAUGGGAUUAAACACACGCCCACACAGAUGCUCACAAGAACAUUUGAUGAUAUUAAAUGAAUUGACUUAAUAAUUGUUACGCCACUUUACUACUUGUUUCUCUUUGUUUUUUCAAAGCAUUUUCAGCAUUUACAAAGCCUAUGUUUUAGGUUUUGCAUGAAAAUUUUUGUAAGCAUUAUUUACUGCAGACAACAAUGGCCGGUCUGAGACAGGCCACUCAGCUCUCCAGUUGGUCUUGAACAUUUUAUUUUAUUUUUGACUGAUGAGUUCAGAUUCCAAGACGACCUCAAAAGAAUUGCUCUUAGACCAGAAUUUCUUUAACCUUUGGUACAAGUAGUUGAGGCUGUGAGUCUAUGACUUACUGAGCUGAAAACUUGGUAACAUUAUUUCAGGCAAAUGACAGCUGUAAAUAGCUAAAUAACUAAAGUUUCAACUGCAAGAAUAUUACUUAUUAUUUUUUGAUUAUUUACUGUAGGACAGAGGUCAUCUCAAACUCUGUGAAUGUGUUACCACAGUAAGGGGCGUCUGAACAAAAUUAUACACGGUCUUGUCCAUGAUAUACAUACAAACUUAAAAUUAGAAUUAGAAAAUUCAUAUAUGGACAGCACAUUAGGCAUGUAAACAUUGUAGUGUGAAGUGUACCGUUCAUGUCUUGGUAUGGUUUGUAACAUGAUAUGUCCCCGUAUCUACCCGUGGUUUAUCAAUAUGUCUUACAUGGUACAGUACGGUCUUGGUGGUAUGGGGAGUAUCAUACCACAGUAUGGUCAGUUUUCAACACUUGAUGUAGAAUGUGCUUGUUUACUUUAUUCCUUUAAUACUACUGUAUAUCAGAAUUUGCAUAUAUGAAGCUUGCAGUGGUAUUUGUGAUACUAGAUUUAGUUGCAUUAUAUUAAAGUGAGAAAAUUUUCUUGCAAGUAAUAAAUUAACUGGAAGCAGAAUU